Rattus norvegicus (Norway rat) is the source of this 10454-nucleotide non-coding RNA. NCBI's taxonomy places the organism in Eukaryota, Metazoa, Chordata, Mammalia, Rodentia, Muridae. The record is from RefSeq and is a predicted model, not a curated record.
CUCCUCCUCCUCCUCCUCCCCUUCCUCCUCCUCCUCCUCCUCUUCCUCCUCCUCCUCCUCCUCCUCCUCUUCUUUCUAUUCUGUUUCAAAAAAGGUUGGAAGAAUGACUGAGCAGUUGGAAAAACUAUGGAUGGAAAUGGAGAGGCCCAAGAGACAAACAAAAAAAUGGCUGAAAUGGGAAAAUAAAAGGGGUCAGUCUGCUUCCUUUUUGAAAUGGUUGCAGAGUUGGAGGUGCAACUGGAGAAGUUGCAAAUAGAGGUGGAGGCUCCUGGGAGGGAAGGAGUACAGGAAAAGAGGCUCAGUCCCAAGCGACUGAGCCAGAGAGUGGGGUACCCCACAGGAAGAAAGACUGAAGGAAACUGCCAGAGUACAGCUAAGUUAGGACAAAGCUGAAAAAACAGGAGGACAAUCUGUUUUGCAAGAAAGGGUUAGGGCUGGAGAGAUGGCUCAGCGGUUGAGAGCACUGACUGCUCUUCCAGAGGUCCUGAGUUCAAAUCCCAGCAACCACAUGGUGGCUCACAACCAUCUGUAAUGAGAUCCGAUGCCCUCUGCUGCUGUGUCUGAAGAUACCUACAGUGUACUUAUAUAUAAUAAAUAAAUAAAUCUUUAAAAAAAAGUAGAGAUGCUGUCUUUAAAAGAAAGAGAGAGAAAGGUUUAAUCUUGAACCAAUCAUACUGCCACAGUAGGAGGAGGGGUGGCCCAGGAUGAUGCAAUCUCCACCAACUUUCCCAGUAGUCAUAAAUGCCUGAAACAAGGUUAUGAUGAGAUAGGAUGGCAUCCUAUAGAAAUGAUAGAUCUAAGGUCUUUCAGAGAGGCCAUUAUUUCAUAUGAGAUGCACUUGCCUUAUGUGCCUAAAUAACUGGGCUACUCAAAAUAGAAUUACUCCCCCAGACUGGAAAGGAUUGGUUGCAGCUGUGCUAGAAGACAGUCUGAGUUGAAAUGGUGAACAUGGUGGAGGGAAGAAGCUGUGAAUAUUGAACAUCAAAAUAGAGCAAUGGGAAUGGCAAAGACCCGCUGCUGAGUGGAGGGCAGGACUUUGAUAUAUAAGAGCAAAUUUAAUUUGAUGGUGCUACUGUAGAACUUGGGACAAAGAGCUUGGGACGAAGUUGAGGAACCCUGGGAAAAGUCCACCUCAUUUACAAAGAUUAUAGAAGGCUCUGGAGAAGCCUCCACUGAUUUUUCACAAAAAUUAGUCUCAUUUGUGAACAAGGCCAUUAUCAGACCCUGAUGCAAGGCAGGUGUUGAUAGAGACGAUGGCAUUUGAAAAUGCAAACACUGAGUAUAAAAAUUUAUUAGACCAUUAAUGGCACAAGGAGAGCUUAUGAACAAAUGCAUAAGGGAUAUGACUAAUAUUGAUUCUAACAUAUACCAGCUAAUAUAAUAGGUCAAGCUAUAGCUAGAGGUCUCCAAUACCAAAAUGUCCAGUGCUUUAAUUGUAAGAAAUAGUCAUUUGCCAAGAGAAUAUGAUUAACCCACUAAAUGUUUAAUUGUGGGAAAUAUGGUCGUUUGCAACAAAAUUGUGAACAAGACAUCUCCAAGGAUAAUGGUUUUCCUAAAUAUAAACCAGAGAGAAGGCUAGGCUUCUAGGUGUAUUUAGGUGAUGUGACAAGGGUUGCCAUUGGACCAAUGAGUGUAAGUCCAAAGGAGAUAUUCAAGGUAAUUUAUUAUUAUUGGGAAAUGGCCUGGGCGGGAGGCAGAGCUCAAGGCCUCACAGCAAAAGCAUGGGGUGUUUCAGCUAAGGAGUGACCUCCACUUGGUAUUGGAGAUUUAAUGCAUGUUUGCUGCAAGCAGUGUGGCUGUGGACUUGGCUACAGGUAGACAUCUUACUCUAGCCUCAAGAACUCAAAGUUAUAAAAUAGCUACUGGAGUGUAGGGUCCUUUGCCUCUAGGGACAGUAGGGAUGACCUUGGGAAUAAGUGUAUUAAUUCCCCAAUGACACAUUGUACAUCCAGGAACUACAGAUGAAGAUGUCAAUGGAGAAAUUAAAACUAUGGCCUAUGAAAAAGAGAGGUACAAUUUAACACAGGGGAUGGGAUUGCUCAGCUGCUACUGCUUCAAAGGCAAAGCCACUCCAGUAGGAAGAACAGGAGGGUUUGGAAGGGCUGGAAAACCUGUGUUCUGGCAAACAGUUGUUAAUUAUCAGAAGCCAAAAUUGAAAUUUCAAGUAAAUAAUAUUGAAAUAGAAUAUUUGGUGGACACAGGAGCUGCUGUGACUAUCAUCUCAUAAACAUCUUGGAAUUCAGAAUGGCACUUUAGAAGGUUUAUACCCAGUUUCCAGGAAUUGGAAAGUUAUCUCAGAUAAAACAGGGUAUGUGAUGGGUUAAAUGUGUGGGACCAAAAUGCCAAACAGGAAAGUUAAAGCCUUAUGUGGACACCCAUAAAUUUAUGGGGAAGGGAUCUUUUACAACAGUGGCGUACUCAGAUCACUAUUCCUGCAAUCCCAUAGACAGAGAUAAAUAAGGGGUGAAAUGGCAGAUGUUCCCGCAGAAGGUAUCAAUAUAGGUUAUCAAAAACACUCACUAUUGUCUUUGAUGUGCCAAUUGUCCAAACACAAGGUAGGCAGGGAUUGAGUUUCCAAAUUUAUAAAAGGGGGCAGGAGGAAGCGCUGCUGAGUGCUGACAGCCGUACCCUUAAAGCGGUCAAAUGGGAAGCCUGUGUGGAUAGAGCAAAGCCUCUAACUAAGGAAAACUUACAGGCAUUUGGGCAGCUAGUGCAAGAGCAGUUGGGAGCUCAGAACAUAAGAGUCUACCAGCCCUCGAAUUCCCCUGUAUUUGUUAUUUUAAAAAAUCGGAAAAAUGGAGGGUGUUAACGGAUUUAAUUGUGGUGACUAGAGUAAUACAACCAAUGAGUCUGUCACAGCCUGGAAUUCCUUUACAUUCUUUAUUACCUAAGGCAUGGCCUAUGAUAGUAAUUGAUUUAAAAGAUUUGAUUUUUUUACCAUCCUCUUGCAUGAGCAGGAUAGGGAAAGGUUUGGUUUUAUAGUACCUACUUAUAAUAAUGCUCAACCUAUAAAAAUGGGAAGUUCUUCCACAAAGAAUAUUAAACAAUCUAACUUUAUGUCAAUAUUUUGUGCAACAACUGUUAGAAAUAAUUCAUAGGCAAUUUCCUCAAUCCAUUAUUUAUCAUUACAUGGAUAUUUUAUUGGCUGAUUCCGAUACAGAUACUUUAGAGAAAAUGUUUAAGGAAAUACAAAGAAUUCUGCUAGGCUGAGGUUUACAGAUCCUAUUAACUAUUUGGCUUAUAAAAUAAGUCAACAAAAAAAAAUUCAGCCACAAGAUACAGAUCAGAAGAGAUCAGUUACAGACUCUUAAUGAUUUUCAAAUUAAUAGGAGAUAUUAAUUGGAAACAAUCUACCAUUGGAUUAAUUACUCAAAUGUUAAGUAAAUUGUUUCAAAUGUUACAAGAUUCAGACUUAAGUAGUCCAAGAUAGUUAACAGCUGGAGAAGAGAGAGAGCGAAAGAGAGCAAGAGAGAGUGAGAGAGAGCGAGAGAGAGAAUAUUCUGGUAGAACAGAGACUACAAGGUACACACAUAUGAGUUACAUAGAUAUCAAACUUUAUUGUAUUUUGGUUUUUUUGUCUUUAGCUCAUUCUUCUACUGAGCUCAUAAAGCAAAGGGAAGAUAGUAUUAUGGAAUGGAUAUUCUUAACACACAAAGUAAAAAUUAAAGACUUACAAAGAAAAAGUUUCUGAUUUAAUUAUAUAAGGUAGACUUGUAUAAUUAUCAAUUAUCAGAGCAGAUCCAGCAGAAAUUGUAGUACCAUAUACUCAUGCUGAGAUAAUGUCAUUAUUGGUAAUCAAUGGAGAUUGGCCAAGAGACUGCAGCAGCGGUUUGGGAGUUCUGAGAGGCCGAUUCUGUAAUUGCACAUUUACUGUUAUAGGGAUACCGUGUACAUCAAAUCUGACAAUGUCCCUACAUAUGUCUCCAGUAAGGUGAACCCACCCUUUACACAUUAUAAUAUAAAACAUAUUAUAGGUAUUCCACCCAAUCUUAUAGGACAAGCAGUUGUAGAAAGCUCUAAUCGCACCUUAAAAGAAAUGCUUAUAAAGCAAAAAUGAAGAAUGAAGAUCCCCAGGUAUUGACUGAAUAGUGCUCUGCUAACUUUAAACUUUCUGAGUGUUGAUGAGAAGGGAAGGACAGCAGCCUAGAGAAACUGGAUUACUAGAAAAAACUGUAAAAUCAGACACAUACUGAAGGAUGCGGUGACAUCGGGUUGGAAGCCAGUGUAGGGACGUGAGCCUGCUUCACAGCAGCUGACUAUGAUUCGCCUCCUUCUCUAGCAGAGGCAUGGCUUUGCCGGCUGCAGAUGGUUUCUGUGAUUGUGCGAUAUUUGAAACUCUGGGAAAAUUUCAGAGGAUCUAUAAACACUAGAGCCACCAUAGGUGGAGUUGGUGGUUGUUGGUCAUUUAGGGGUAUUGGAUGUGGUUCGUUAGUAGUGGUGCUCAAAAGAAACAAAAAAUAAUUAAUCAAAAUCAGAAGUUGCUCUUCUCUCUCUCUCUCUCUCUCUCUCUCUCUCUCUCUCUCUCUCUCUCUCUCUCUCUGUCCUAUCUAGUGAUGGGGGUGAACCAAGGGACAUAAAUGAUGGAAAAAAGAAGAACCCACAAGGUAGCAAAGACCACACACGCAGACACACACACACACACACACACACACACACACACACACACACACACACACACACCCCUUUCCUGGCUGAGGAAUGGUCUUUGUGGAAGCACCAGCCAAGUAAGAAUACAUCUCUGCCAGCUAGGAGAGCCCAGUCCCCAUGGCCAGAGGAGGAAGCUUCAUUCCUGCAUCCCAGGGCCACGUUCCAGCAGCUAGCAGUUACCUUGAAUAAGAGCUACCAUGAUCAUUUACAAAGGCCAGUUCUAGACUCUCCACCUUGUGCUGUCUGCCUGUCCCCAGGAUUCAUGGUAGGGGGAUGUGGACUAAGCCUGUCUUACACUGUUUUCUCCCCUGACCCAGCCCACUGAUUGCUGCUUUUUCUAUGGCCCUGUGCCAUGUCUCUAAGACCAAUGGGGGUGACAACCAUCUACCUUUCCAAGUGCUGCUCGUGGCCCCUCUGGCUAUAUGUAUGUGCAAGACUCUGCUCCAGGCCCAGGAAGACAAUUCUAGAAGGGCUGAGGUUGUAGAGAAGCAGCUCUCUUGCUUCCUAUUCCAAGGCCCGUGCAUCUCCCCUUUCCUUAAGGCAGACAGGGAGGGCACCAAAGAGGCUAAAGUGACAAUGCAGCCGGGAGAAGGUGACUCCAGAGUGGCUGACCUCACUAGUCUCUGUAACAAAGUCCCAUGCACGAUGAUUAACAGAAGUGCACGCUCUUGCAGGCUUGGAGUUGAAAUCUGAGAAGUUCUGAGCAGGCCAUGCUCUCCCUGAAGUCAUGUGCCAGCCGACCCUGCAGGCCAGUCCUUCCUAGUCCUUCUCUUGGCUCCUUCCAGCUUAGACAUCUGUGUCCAUCCCUGUCAGGACAUCUUAUUCUUGGCCUUAUUGUGAAGACAAGCCAUUGUCCAUAGGCCACACCCACUCCACAGUGACCUCAUCUUAACCUAGCCAAUAGUAUCUUUGGUCCAAAUAAGGCCCAUGGCCUGAGGCUGUGAGAAGAGUGAGCUUGGGGGACACCAUUCAUCACUGCAUUCACACGGUCUGCUCCUGGGCCACACCCCCGCUGCUGGGAAUCCUCUGUCUCCUCAGAAACCAGCUAGAAUCCCUGAAAGACAUCAUCAGAGAAGAGGAAAGGCUGACUGCCACAUCUUCUUCCCUUGGUCAACAACCAAAACCCAUGACCAGUAAUUCUGUUCUUACUUGGAGACCACCCUGGUGACCCCUCUACUUCCCUGCAGGCCCACAGCCUGGUGCCCCAUCCCAGGGAAGCAGCAAUUGCUAAUUUAUCCUGAAGAGCUGGCCAGAACAAAAGAAGCGGGACUUCUUGGCCCAGCGGCCUGGAGACCAGAGAAAAAAAUUCCACAGCCCUGACUCCAGCUCGAUUCUCACCACAAUGCUCAUCCACCUCGAAUUGGAAAGGCCCACUCAGCACCCUAGUCCAGCGAGUGAAGGUGCUCAGACCCAAAGUGGUGCAGAGCUUUUCCGAUGCGGAGACCAAGGGCAGAGAUCCAAGCUUUCUCUGUCCUUUUCCAGUCCUUCCAUCGGGAAGCCAUCUGGGGAGCGAGAUGUCCCUUCUCAAUCAGGGACCCCAGCUUCCUGCUAGCCAAGGUGAGCCAAGGCGGAUCCAAACCAUGCAGGCGUUUUUGGGAGGGUGGUGGGGACACCCCUGUAUCUCUGUGACCCUGUAGCAGCGGGUCCUUUCCGCUACCUGAGCAGGCAAAGGCGGGUUCCCUGCGCUAGGCGCGCCUGUGAGAAGCAGAGCCGGAGCUUGCGCCAGGGCUUGUUUGCUUGUAGUGGCGCAGUGUUUCGUGUCCCUAGUGCCUGCUUCACGCCCUCCCAGUGAGUUCCACAGUCCUAGGAAGGUGUGGAACGGGGAAGAGGGUGCUAGGCCGGAGGGCAGAGGAACGGAACCAGGAGAGAACCGGAAAGGACAAGCCAGAAGUCGCCGCAACGGCUCUGCUAGCUGCUUGGGGACUGCUAUUUUGAAAUGCAGCGACCCGGGCGCAGGAUACCGGGGUCAAGUGUCACUUCCUCUGGCAGUCAAUCUCCAAUAUUCCUUGUAAUGUUUUUAAAUGGACGAAUUCAUUACUUGGGGACGUGUGAAUGGAGAGUGUUGGAGAGCAGGCUCGAUCAAUAGCGUCCACUGAUGGUUCAUUUUUCACAGCGGAGAGGGGACCGCGGAGCUGAAGGAAGACCUAAUCAAUAUCGCGCACCACGGGCUGGAAAAGGUCAUUUAGGGAAGGUGGAAAAGUUCAGGCUCCCGGGCCGAGAAGCCUAAUCGCCCCGUGUCUUUGUUGCGACUCCCUCUACCCUUGUCCUUCCAGCACACAGUCACAGAGAGCUGGCUGCUUAAGAGAGAGACAAGUCGGGUCCAAACACGCUAUCGCGACACGCCCACGCCCAGUGUCCACACUACUCCUACGCACACAUAGGUGGACUCAGCCGAAAGGCCACACCUUUUUACCGCUUUUAGCGGUGUAGCGGAAGAGUCAUGAGAAAACACAGACACACAGACACAGACACAGACACAGACACAGACACAGACACAGACACACACAGACACACAGACACACACACACACACACACACACACACACACACACAGAGUCCUCUUAGUAUCUGGGAUGAGUGCCCAGGUGGAUUGGGUGAUUGGCCAGUCAGCCCCGCUGUUGUUAACAGAAAAGGUCAAGUAAAAUUAAAAAGGGAAAUACCUCCAAUAUCCCCUUCUGUCUUGCCAAUAGCACCCUGGGACUCCAGUAGGCAAGACUGGGCACAUGAAAGGCUCUCCAGGAGCCCUCAACGGGAAUUACUGCAAGCGGUCCAGCAAAUGCAAUAGCAGAGAGGGCAGGCAGUCUCUGCCGGUUCCCUGAGUCCUGAUCAGGGAGAUACAUUUAAGAGAAUGUUGUCUACAGAUUAACAUGGCUGAAGGACUUGCCUCGUGACUGGCCACAUCCCUGAGUUUGUUGAAAGGAAAUGACCUACACUCCAUCCCUGGCUACCUCAGCAUCAGGAAGUGUUUCUCUCCUUUCCAAUUUUGCUGCUUGGCCAAAUGGUUUGACCCACCAAAGCUUGUGGGCGUUCUCUGGUUGUGUAUAGUAUAGCUAUUGUCUCAUUUUGUGCACACACACACACACACACACACACACACACACACACACACACACACAGUGGUGCUCUCUCUGCCUCCUCAAGGAACAGAGAGCAGGCUUCCUUCUGGCUGUGGAUAAACGCUGCUCUAGAUCUGACUCUCAUUGGCACCCUAGCCCCCACCCCAUCUUUGCUUCCUCUGAGAUAGAGGGCAAGAUGAAGAAGAAAUACUGCCAUUCAGUCAAAACCGAUCUAUUGACUUGGUUGUCCCGUUUGUUGCCAUCUCGCUUGACCACCUCCUAAGUUGGAGAUGGUUGGUGCUCCACGUGGGGUGUGUUCAGAUGUGCUCAAGUCUGCAAUGGUCAUGAGACACACUUGACUUCAGCAGCAGGUUUCAAACUGUGUGCGGCUUUGCCGAAAGUGUUUGCUCCGGUACCGAUCAGGUGGAGCAUGCCAGAGAUGUUACUCUCUAUGCUGGAGUUCUUUUCAGUCAGUUGAAAUUGGUGGGGGAAAAAGAUCAAUUUCCUUGUUUUGAAGGGUUUGUUUAAAUAUGAUAAUAAGAUAAAAUGAAAAUCGUUUGCAAAUUAGACCUUGAACUUCCUCACAAAAAUUCAUCUUUUAAAGAACAACCUUUAAGGGGCCUUUGUUCUCAAUGCUUUCUGGAGACCAUUCUUUUUACCUAAAGUUGCUUUUGAUCAAGCUACAAAAGUGGCUCUUAUUCAAGUGUAGUGCUUUUUUGUUUUUUUUAAUUUACAAUAUUGACAUUUCUCCUGGGAGUUAAGUUUCCAGGCACAAUGUGUCAGGACAAGAGGCAAAUGCCCCCGUUUUUUAGGUGCAGGUUCUUAUAACAGCCCCAUUUCUAGGAGCCUCACUCAAGCAGAAAGAAUCCGUUUCUGUUCGUUAACAUUUUUUGAGCCAGAAAAUUAAAAACAAAUAUUUAACUUCCCAAUUUGGAAUUCAGGUGGGCAUUGCCAGCUAAACUUUUGCAAUGCAUACUCAAUGAACUAAACGCAAUCUUUACUAGCCAAAUAAAACUACGUUCCCAUGGUUCAAAAACAAGUUAGAAUAAACUGAAGGAUGGAUAAAAUUCAUGGGGAGUGUCCGCAGAGGGAGCUGACAUGUUUGAACAUGGCCAAAAAGACAGCCUUUGGACACUGCUCAAUUCAGGGGCUUUGAUACAGCUAGUAAAAGUACAUUUAGAAGAGAUGAAUAUUAAACAAACACGUAUACCUACAAACCUGUUUAUAGUUUUCUUUUUCUCUUCCAGUGCAGCUUUCCCAGCUUCCCCACAGCUCACCACAAACGUGGCAGGCUGGCAAAGCUUCCUGAGUCUUUAUUUGGGUCUCUCCACCCGACCAAAGGUUUUCCCUGCGCAGGAUAGCAGUUGGAAGCAGGAAUUUAAACCACCAGGGUCUAUCCAUUGUUGCAGGGCUCCUUGUCUCUGGUGCUAAAUUCUUUUCAAUUCUCUUAUUUCUCCAGUAUUUCCCCUAUAUUUUGUCAGCACACAAUUAACAUCUCUGAUACUUCUCUCCCCAACAACAGCAAACGAUCUUUAGACUCAUCUCCAGAGCCAGGCACUGGAGGGUCAAGCCUGCAAAGAGCAGGGACUCCAGGAAGCCCAUCAGCGCCGACGUGGCACUCCCUGAAUCUGGCCUCCUCUGAGCAGCGACUCUCAGCUGUCAGUUUCUCACCCAGCUAGGUUCCUGCAACAGCAUCCUCAGCUGAGUCCAGAACCUGGAUUCCAUGGAUCAUUCAAAUUCAGGGUCCUUGUGCCAAGGCUACUGACAUGAGACUGCUGGCACCUGGCUGAUGAAGGCACAAAUCCAGUGGUCUCGUUAACAGUAUCUGUGAGUUGGGUGUGGGAAGGCAGAGACCUGGAGGAAAGGCAGGUUGGGAGUUCUUACUUCCCAAAGGAUCCUCCCACCACUGAGUAAACCUUUACCUUCUUCCCUCAGCCUCCUGGUUCAGAGCUGUUCUCACAGCACCUAUCUCUGUUCCUGUGACUGCACUCCAUGCUUCUUUUUUGAGACUGGCUGACAUUUGCCUUGGUCUUCUAGCUACAAGAGCAGUGCUAGUUAUAGGCACGAAAAGCAACGGGAUUUCUGUCACAUUGACAAGGGGCUCCACAUACCUAGAGCCAAGCCAAGGUGUAUCUGAUCUGAGAAUCACAGUGUUAGGGCUAGUUCCAAGCAUUUGCCGUCUUCCUCAUAGCUGGCUCUCUUUUCUGUUUUACCAUGUUCUCUAGCCUGCUUCCUACACACACACACACACACACACACACACACACACACACACACACACACACACACGUCCCAGACAAGUAAGGUAAGGCAGGAGAGAAGGUUCAAGUUCAGAUGAGAGGGGCAAUCCAGUAUGAGUUACCUCCUCCAGCUACUCAGGCCCAGCAGCUGGGAACAUCAGAGCCUUCCUUCUCCACAGAGUCGGUAGUUUAAAGGCCAGAGGUAGAAAGGACGGGCCUUCAUAAAACCUUCUGGAAACAAGUAACUUUUAAAUGAGCCUCUACUGUGUAACCAGAAUAGAGUUGAGACCAAAGAGGUUCUGGUCUCACCCUACCUCCUAGAAGAUAACAGAGCCUAGAGCCCUGUGCCUUAGCAAUAAACUAAAUCAUCGAUUCGUUUUUAAAGAGGCACCCAACCAUGAAUUAGCAACCCACACCAUUAAAACGUGGCAUCAGCAAGAUUUGGCUUCGCAGAGCCCAUUACUUCUUGCAUGCACGCAUGUCCAUGUUAAAUAUGGAAAAGAAGAAGAAA